RNAcentral lists this unclassified non-coding RNA (4379 nucleotides) under Hevea brasiliensis (rubber tree). The record is from RNAcentral. Lineage: Eukaryota; Viridiplantae; Streptophyta; Magnoliopsida; Malpighiales; Euphorbiaceae.
AUUUUGAUCCUAAUCUCAAUUAAAAAACAAUGCUUUGACAUUUCUUUAUUUCUGACAGAGAUCUGUGUCCUCUGCAAGCCCAUCCUUUCCCCACUUUACGUCUCUUGCGCGCCUCUUUCAAUAGCGAGGAAGAAGAAGACGAAUAACAAGAAAAUGUCUAGCAACGAAGACUCGGGUGAGGAGAUAGUUUCCAAUGGAGAUUCAUUUGGGAAAGUGAAGCAGAGGUUCAAGGCCCGAUCUAAGAAAGUGGCUCAAACCAAGGAAAUAUUAUCAAAACAAGCGAAUCAGACCAAGGAGAUAUUAUCUAAACAGGCAGUUAAGAUCGCAAAACAAGCCGAGGAACACGAGAGCUUUCUUAGUAAGGUAACUCAUCUUCUUGGUGUUCUUGGUUUUGGGGGAUUUUGCUUCCUCUUGGGCGCAAGGCCGCAAGAUAUUCCUUAUGUAUACUGUUUGUUUUAUGUCAUAUUUGUUCCUCUUCGGUGGAUAUACUAUAGGUUCAAGAAAUGGCAUUAUUAUCUUCUGGACUUCUGCUAUUAUGCCAAUACUAUCUUCUUGGUUGAUCUUCUUUUAUACCCAAAAAAUGAAAAGCUUUUCAUGGUUUGCUUUUCAUUUGCUGAAGGGCCAUUAGCUUGGGCAUUGAUUGUUUGGCGUUGUAGCUUGGUUUUUAGUUCUGUUGACAAAAUUGUCAGUGUCCUUAUACAUCUUUUACCGGGUUUAGUUUUCUUCACUAUAAGAUGGUGGAAUCCAGUGACCUUCGAAGCCAUGCAUCCUGAAGGAACUUCGAGAAGAGCAUCAUGGCCCUAUGUAGUAGAAGACAAAUCCUUCCUGUUAACUUGGCUGUUCUGGGUGCCCUUAUUUGCUUACACCUUGUGGCAAGUUCUCUAUUUUCUCAUUGUCAAUGUCCUACGUCAGCAGAGACUAUUAAGAGAUCCUGAAGUCAUGACUUCUUACAGGUUUUGAACUGUCCGCUAAUAAUAUGUUUAUAUAUUACAUAUGCAUAUGGCUGUUCCUGUGGGUUCCUUUUAUGAAUUGUUGUAACUUGUUUACACUGUCUUCUUUUCAUUCAAUCGACUUCCAUUAGGGAGCUCUCAAAAAAGGCACAAAAAGCAAACAAUGUAUGGUGGCGUUUAAGUGGUUUGCUUGGGGAUCAGAAUCGCUUGUUCAUGUACAUUUUGUUGCAAGCUAUAUUUACUGUGGCAACUAUGGCGCUGACGGUCCCAAUCUUCUUGUCCUAUGAGCUACAUGUGGCUUUCCAAUUACUCAAGGUUUCUGCAGCUGUAUGGAAUGGAGGAAGCUUUCUGGUAGAUGUAAUGCCAAGACAGGUGAUUCUCAAAGAGAAGAAGAAAUCAGAGAUGAAGCCAGCACCUAUCCAGCAAGACCAGUCCUUGAACGAGCAGCAAGAACAAUCCCCAAAUGUGAUGGAGAAUACAAUGAAGACCAUUGAUUCUGCUGACCUAGGAUGCACUGAGUCUUAACGGCCAUGAGUCAAUAGUUUUCUGACAAUUGUAACUCACCUGUCUUACUUUGUUGAAUUUUCCAUGUCAAAAAUGUUAUCUUUCAACGAUGCAAAGUAGAUGGCCUUCAAUUCAACUUGCUCCGGUUGAUUACUCAAUAGAGUUGCUUGUUUGAAAAUGCUACCAUGGCUUUCAGAAGAAUGUCCGGGUGUUAAAAGUCCCAUAUACAAGCAACAAAAAUAGGCAAACGAAAUUUUCGUGUUAGGCUCAUGGCUCCAUAUUUGAAUCUGGCGUGCAAGCAGCGGAAUCAGUCUUCUUCUUCUUCUUCUUUUUACAAUUUUUUUUUCAAUUUAUCUAAAGAUUAAAAUUUCAUUAAGUGAACGGAGUGAGAAGCAAAGCUAUAAGUCACCAGAACACAACAAAAAUGAUGCCCAACAGUUAGCCUAUUACAAAAACAGGGCCUAAGGCCAGUACAGAAAGAACACUAGAGAAGAUAACAUUGGCAAUGGCCUCGCUGAAGUCACGGCAUGCUGAAGAAGGGAAGUGCAGCGCCACAGGACCACUGUCUGGAACAAAGAGAAAAGGUCUCGUCCCUUGAAGAGGUAAAAGACCGGCCGAAGCACAAGUAGAGCCUUAGGCCCAACCACAACACUUUCAUAACAACGAACAGAACCUCCAAAGCCACAGAUCACAACAUCAUUUUAGCCAUCUGCGAGAGGUGGAAGGUAGAGCCCCAUUGCAUCCAUGGCCUUAAAAGAUUUGGUGAUAAAGGGCCGACGGAGAUACCCAAGAUGCCCUUCCACAACGCUAGAAACAGACUACUCUAUCCCCCGUACAAGACCCAAACCCAUUGUAGCUUCCUCACUCCAGAUCUACCAAUAAACCUCCAAGAAGUCAAUGGAACCUAUACGCAAGCCACAACCAACAAACACGGCAGAAAAAAGAACCCUUUCCCUUUGAGCAUCAAGUCCUCUGUAAAAGAGGCGGGGAGAGAACAUGGCAAAGGAGAGGGAGUUGACCCCGAAAGCUGUUAAGCUUAGCUGUAAUCCUGUGUUGUAACAGAAUCGGUUUUACUGGUGAUAUAAAGAACCAUCAGCUGUAAUGUUCAAAGUUCUGACAAUUGCCGUGUGUAGAGGUUUUUCUUAUCAUAUUUGAUUCUGGCAUUUCAAGCAACCAGAAAAGGGAGAGCCUCUGACAUCAGGAACAAAAAGUAAAAAAAGAAAUAAUAAAAGAAAAGAAUGAAGAAUACAUAUUGUUUUCUCGUUCAAACAAUUGCCUAUAAAAUGCGGCACAUGCCAGUUACACUCAAACCACUAAACCCCAAAACUCGUCAAACUAUAUAGAAGAGGCCUGGCUAAAAAAUAAUAAAAAAAAUAUAAACGAAGCCUGUUGCAGGCUUGUGAAAUUAUGAGGCACCAUUGCCUACCCCUAUGAUUGAACAUUAUCACAUUAAAUGUGAUGUGAACUCUCAAAAAAUACCCCUCUUGUUUAUGCAACGCGAGGGAAAGAGUAAUUGACCUGUACACCAAAGAUGGUAGCCUGAGACUGAUGCAAAUUAUAAUAUACACAUGGAUGGUGAUAAAAUAAUGAGGGUUUAUGCGCAGGUCUUAGCUUGUUCAUGCACAGGGCGUACCAUGGACAUCCAUGAGAACAAGGUUCCGGUACAGGGGUUGAACAUGAACAUCACUCGGAGCGUGGAAGCAAGAACCCAAAACCAGAGUUUUCACGAAUUAAUGGCGGAGGAUCUAUGUCAGCUAUUUCUACUUGUUGCAUUGACUUGGAGAUGUCAUCCACAGUGAAUGGGAUGCUUGAGUCAUCAUCUAACAGAAAAGAACUGCUGACAGCAUUGUUUGAGUCCUCAGUCAUCAUAAUUCUCAUACUAGAUAUAACAUCUGAAGAUACACUAUGCGUGCCAUAUUUGUCAUCCCAGUACAUGGUACUGAUCCUAUAUAGUUGCUGUAUGCUCAGCACCGGACAAAGUUCUUUAGUAAUUUCAUUCAAGGUCUUCUUAGGCUUUUGAUGUAUGACUAGGAAUCCAACAGCCUGUCUUAUAUGCUUCAAUUCAUCCCAUGCAGAGCCCGCAAAUUCUGCAGUUGCCUCAUGGCACCACUGCUCUAAUUCAGCCAAACCUGCUUUCACAUAUUCUCCAUUACUGAAUGAGCAACACUCACGCCGCAAAAGAAGACUAUUGAAUAACUGAACAUUGAUAAAUGAGAAUAUCUGAGUGAACACUUUACGCAUUAAGAAGGGAGGCACAUAGUUCGCCUUCAUUAUCAUCAAAUAACUGUUUAAGCUUUUAACAAUGCUUUGCCAAUGAGCGAUUAAAGCUUGUUGAGCAACAGCGUUAGCCUGAGAGCGUCCUUUUACUAAACUUGCCCGGGAAGUUCUUGGUGCCUGAAUACAUAAACCAAGCAAUGGAGAGAUCUCUUUCUUCAAAUUGUCCCUUAUCAUUCCAUAUAUCUUUUCAAGGAAGGCAGUAAGCUGUUGUUUAAACAGUAAUGCUGGAUACUUGGCCUCAACCUGUCGUAAAUCGUCCAGUCUACUAAGUGCUCGACCAUUAAGGAAUGAGAGUCCAGCACUUUGAGGAGAAGCCCUUAGCCCUUGAGACAUCCUCCCAAAAAGAGAAGCUGAUGCCGUUCUCCGCCGUUGUGGUGUUAAACUGGCUGCUCCACUUGCUUUGAGUGUGUGUUGGAGCAGCAGCAACAAUGUGGAUGAAUUUGAUAACCAAUAGGCUAAGACAUCAUUGUUAUCUGGGACCUCUAUAGCUGAAGCUACUGUUUGGAUAAUACGAUCAAACACGCUAGUCCUUUCAACUUCAAAUGACCUCCAGUGAAGAAGACAUUUGUAUAUGAUGCAAGCAGCAACUGGUUUGCCUCCUGAGAAUCCCAAGUUUUGUGAUACACACUUGAUCAGUAGAUCCUGGUU